UAGGGUAUAGCUCAGUUUGUAGAGUGCUUGCCUACCAUGUAUAAUUUUCUGGGUUUGAGUCCCAGUGUCAUAA
Non-coding RNA from Heterocephalus glaber (naked mole-rat), 73 nucleotides. Lineage: Eukaryota; Metazoa; Chordata; Mammalia; Rodentia; Bathyergidae. The record is from Rfam.